Molecule: ribosomal RNA, 253 nt
Filed under: uncultured bacterium
Lineage: Bacteria
Description: partial 16S ribosomal RNA
Rfam family: Bacterial small subunit ribosomal RNA
Source: RNAcentral
CACGGGGGGAGCAAGCGUUGUUCGGAAUCACUGGGCGUAAAGGGUGUCUAGGCGGUCAGGUAAGUGAGAUGUGAAAUGCCCCGGCUUACCCGGGGACCUGCAUCUCAUACUGCCUGGCUUGAGUAUGGGAGAGGAUGAGGGAAUUCCUGGUGUAGCGGUGAAAUGCGUAGAUAUCAGGAGGAACACCGGUGGCGAAGGCGGUUCUCUGGGCAUGACCUGACGCUGAGGAGCGAAAGUGUGGGGAGCGAACAGG